This 482-nucleotide ribosomal RNA is filed under the name uncultured bacterium. RNAcentral's name for it is "partial 16S ribosomal RNA". It matches the Rfam family "Bacterial small subunit ribosomal RNA", at positions 28 to 507 of the family's 1533-position model. The record is from RNAcentral.
GAUGAACGCUAGCGGCAGGCCUAAUACAUGCAAGUCGAGGGAGAUUGUUGGAUUCGUCUGACAUGAAACCGGCGCACGGGUGCGUAACACGUAUGCAACCUACCUUUAACUGGGGUAUAGCUCAGAGAAAUCUGAAUUAAUCCCCCAUAAGACUACGACAUGGCAUCAUGAUGUAGUUAAAGCUCCGGCGGUUAAGGAUGGGCAUGCGGUACAUUAGCUAGUUGGUGAGGUAAUGGCUCACCAAGGCUACGAUGUAUAGGGGGUCUGAGAGGAUGAUCCCCCACAUUGGAACUGGGUCACGGACCGGAAGCAUACGGGAGCCAGCAGUAUGGGAGAUUGGUGAAUGGACGCAAGUCUGAACCAGCCAUGCCUCGUGAAAGAAGACGGCCCUCUGGGUCGUAACCUUCUUUUAGUAGGGAAGAAACCUCAAGAGGCGUCUUGAGCUGACGGUACUUAAUGAAUAAGGAUCGGCUAACUUCGUG